This 397-nucleotide ribosomal RNA is filed under the name uncultured bacterium. RNAcentral describes it as "partial 16S ribosomal RNA". It matches the Rfam family "Bacterial small subunit ribosomal RNA", at positions 523 to 918 of the family's 1533-position model. The record is from RNAcentral.
AUACGUAGGUGACAAGCGUUAUCCGGAUUUACUGGGCGUAAAGGGCGUGUAGGCGGUCUUGCAAGUCAGAAGUGAAAUUCCUGAGCUCAACUCGGGCGCUGCUUCUGAAACUGCAGGACUUGAGUGCUGGAGGGGAUAGCGGAAUUCCUAGUGGAGCGGUAAAAUGCGCAGAUAUUAGGAAGAACACCGGUGGCGAAGGCGGCUAUCUGGACAGUAACUGACGCUGAGGCGCGAAAGCGUGGGGAGAAAACAGGAUUAGAUCCCCUGGUGGUCCACGCCGUAAACGAUGAAUACUAGGUGUAGGGGGUAUCGACUCCCUCUGUGCCGCAGUUAACACAAUAAGUAUUCCGCCUGGGGAGUACGGCCGCAAGGUUGAAACUCAAAGGAAUUGACGGGG